Molecule: ribosomal RNA, 483 nt
Filed under: uncultured bacterium
Lineage: Bacteria
Description: partial 16S ribosomal RNA
Rfam family: Bacterial small subunit ribosomal RNA
Source: RNAcentral
UUGAACGCUGGCGGCAGGCCUAACACCUGCAAGUCGAGCGGAUGAAGGGAGCUUGCUCCUGGAUUCAGCGGCGGACGGGUGAGUAAUGCCUAGGAAUCUGCCUGGUAGUGGGGGAUAACGUCCGGAAACGGGCGCUAAUACCGCAUACGUCCUGAGGGGGAAAGUGGGGGAUCUUCGGACCUCACGCUAUCAGAUGAGCCUAGGUCGGAUUAGCUAGUUGGUGGGGUAAAGGCCUACCAAGGCGACGAUCCGUAACUGGUCUGAGAGGAUGAUCAGUCACACUGGAACUGAGACACGGUCCAGACUCCUACGGGAGGCAGCAGUGGGGAAUAUUGGACAAUGGGCGAAAGCCUGAUCCAGCCAUGCCGCGUGUGUGAAGAAGGUCUUCGGAUUGUAAAGCACUUUAAGUUGGGAGGAAGGGCAGUAAGUUAAUACCUUGCUGUUUUGACGUUACCAACAGAAUAAGCACCGGCUAACUUCGUG